RNAcentral lists this ribosomal RNA (497 nucleotides) under uncultured bacterium. RNAcentral describes it as "partial 16S ribosomal RNA". It matches the Rfam family "Bacterial small subunit ribosomal RNA", at positions 28 to 507 of the family's 1533-position model. The record is from RNAcentral.
GAUGAACGCUGGCGGCGUGCCUAAUACAUGCAAGUCGAGCGAACGGACGAGAAGCUUGCUUUUCUGAUGUUAGCGGCGGACGGGUGAGUAACACGUGGAUAACCUACCUAUAAGACUGGGAUAACUUCGGGAAACCGGAGCUAAUACCGGAUAAUAUUUUGAACCGCAUGGUUCAAAAGUGAAAGACGGUCUUGCUGUCACUUAUAGAUGGAUCCGCGCUGCAUUAGCUAGUUGGUAAGGUGACGGCUUACCAAGGCAACGAUGCAUAGCCGACCUGAGAGGGUGAUCGGCCACACUGGAACUGAGACACGGUCCAGACUCCUACGGGAGGCAGCAGUAGGGAAUCUUCCGCAAUGGGCGAAAGCCUGACGGAGCAACACCGCGUGAGUGAUGAAGGUCUUCGGAUCGUAAAACUCUGUUAUUAGGGAAGAACAUAUGUGUAAGUAACUGUGCACAUCUUGACGGUACCUAAUCAGAAAGCCACGGCUAACUACGUG